Molecule: ribosomal RNA, 258 nt
Filed under: uncultured bacterium
Lineage: Bacteria
Description: partial 16S ribosomal RNA
Rfam family: Bacterial small subunit ribosomal RNA
Source: RNAcentral
UACGUAGGGUGCAAGCGUUUAAUCGGAAUUACUGGGCGUAAAGCGUGCGCAGGCGGUUUUGUAAGUCUGUCGUGAAAUCCCCGGGCUCAACCUGGGGAAUUGCGAUGGAGACUGCAAGGCUAGAAUCUGGCAGAGGGGGGUAGAAUUCCACGUGUGAGCAGUGAAAUGCGUAGAGAUGUGGAGGAACACCGAUGGCGAAGGCAGCCCCCUGGGUCAAGGAUUGACGCUCAUGGCACGAAAGCGUGGGGAGCAAACAGG